RNAcentral lists this transfer RNA (69 nucleotides) under Fejervarya kawamurai. Its description in RNAcentral is "tRNA-Arg". It matches the Rfam family "tRNA". Rfam says of the family: Transfer RNA (tRNA) molecules are approximately 80 nucleotides in length. Their secondary structure includes four short double-helical elements and three loops (D, anti-codon, and T loops). Lineage: Eukaryota; Metazoa; Chordata; Amphibia; Anura; Dicroglossidae. The record is from RNAcentral.
AAGGUGUUAGUCCAAUCAAGACAACUGAUUUCGGCUCAGUAAAUUAUGGUUAAACCCCAUAACACCUCU